GCCCCUGUAGUUCAAUGGAUAGAACUCCGGACUUCUAAGCCGGGUAUAGAGGUUCGAUUCCUCUCGGGGGCA
RNAcentral lists this transfer RNA (72 nucleotides) under Candidatus Veblenbacteria bacterium RIFOXYA2_FULL_43_9. RNAcentral's name for it is "tRNA-Arg". It matches the Rfam family "tRNA". From Rfam's summary of the family: Transfer RNA (tRNA) molecules are approximately 80 nucleotides in length. Their secondary structure includes four short double-helical elements and three loops (D, anti-codon, and T loops). The record is from RNAcentral. Lineage: Bacteria; Candidatus Vebleniibacteriota. RNAcentral also lists the same sequence under 6 other names.